This 301-nucleotide ribosomal RNA is filed under the name uncultured bacterium. RNAcentral describes it as "partial 16S ribosomal RNA". It matches the Rfam family "Bacterial small subunit ribosomal RNA", at positions 509 to 807 of the family's 1533-position model. The record is from RNAcentral.
CAGCCGCCACGGUAAUACAGAGGGUGCAAGCGUUAAUCGGAAUUACUGGGCGUAAAGCGCGCGUAGGUGGUUUGUUAAGUUGGAUGUGAAAUCCCCGGGCUCAACCUGGGAACUGCAUUCAAAACUGACUGACUAGAGUAUGGUAGAGGGUGGUGGAAUUUCCUGUGUAGCGGUGAAAUGCGUAGAUAUAGGAAGGAACACCAGUGGCGAAGGCGACCACCUGGACUAAUACUGACACUGAGGUGCGAAAGCGUGGGGAGCAAACAGGAUUAGAUACCCGCGUAGUCCCUGUCUCUUAUAC